GCGGCCGUAACUAUAACGGUCCUAAGGUAGCGAAAUUCCUUGUCGGGUAAGUUCCGACCCGCACGAAAGGCGUAACGAUUUGGGCACUGUCUCAACGAGGGACCCGGUGAAAUUGAAGUACCUGUGAAGAUGCAGGUUACCCGCGACUGGACAGAAAGACCCCAUGGAGCUUUACUGCAACUUGAGAUUGGAUCUCGGUGACAAAUGUACAGGAUAGGUGGGAGACUUUGAACUGAUGGCGCCAGCUGUCAGGGAGUCGAUGUUGGGAUACCACCCUUUUGUGACUGAGAUUCUAACGCCAAGCGUAACGAACUUGCGGACAUUCUCAGGCGGGCGGUUUGACUGGGGCGGUCGCCUCCGAAAGAGUAACGGAGGCGCCCAAAGGUUCCCUCAGCGCGGACGGAAAUCGCGCGAAGAGUGUAAAGGCAGAAGGGAGCUUGACUGCGAGACCAACAAGUCGAGCAGGGACGAAAGUCGGGCUUAGUGAUCCGGUGGUUCCGAGUGGAAGGGCCAUCGCUCAACGGAUAAAAGCUACCCUGGGGAUAACAGGCUAAUCUCUCCCAAGAGUCCAUAUCGACGGGGAGGUUUGGCACCUCGAUGUCGGCUCAUCACAUCCUGGGGCUGAAGUAGGUCCCAAGGGUUGGGCUGUUCGCCCAUUAAAGUGGUACGUGAGCUGGGUUCAGAACGUCGUGAGACAGUUCGGUCCCUAUCCAUCGCGGGCGCAAGAAACUUGAAGGGGGCUGCUCCUAGUACGAGAGGACCGGAGUGGACGGACCAAUGGUGUACCAGUUAUUCUGCCAAGAGUACAGCUGGGUAGCUACGUCCGGGACGGAUAAACGCUGAAAGCAUCUAAGCGUGAAACCAGCCUUGAGAUGAGGUUUCUCAUAACAAAAGUUAGUAAGACCCCUUGUAGACGACAAGGUAGAUAGGCCGGGAGUGGAAGUGCCGCAAGGCACGGAGCGGACCGGUACUAAUCGGUCGAGGGCUUAACUUA
Molecule: ribosomal RNA, 994 nt
Filed under: Escherichia coli
Lineage: Bacteria; Pseudomonadati; Pseudomonadota; Gammaproteobacteria; Enterobacterales; Enterobacteriaceae
Also listed under: 1 other name
Description: partial 23S ribosomal RNA
Rfam family: Bacterial large subunit ribosomal RNA
Source: RNAcentral